AAUAUUGCACAAUGGGGGAAACCCUGAUGCAGCGACGCAGCGUGAGCGAAGAAGGCCUCCGGGUCGUAAAGCGCUGUCCAAAGGGAAGAUAAUGACGGUAGCAUAGGAGGAAGCCUCGGCUAACCACGGGCCAGCAGCCGCGGUAACACGUAGGGGGCAAGCGUUAUCCGGAAUCAUUGGGCGUAAAGGGUGCGUAGGCUGCCCUAUAGGUCAGAGGUCAAAGGCUACGGCUCAACCGUAGCAAGCCUUUGAAACUGUAAGGCUUGAGUGCAGAAGAGGAGAGUGGAAUUCCUAGUGUAGCGGUGAAAUGCGUAGAUAUUAGGAGGACCACCAGUGGCGAAGGCGACUCUCUGGACUGCAACUGACGCUGAAGCACGAAAGCGUGGGUAGCGAACA
Molecule: ribosomal RNA, 396 nt
Filed under: uncultured bacterium
Lineage: Bacteria
Description: partial 16S ribosomal RNA
Rfam family: Bacterial small subunit ribosomal RNA
Source: RNAcentral